CCCUUAGAUGUUCUGGGCUGCACGCGCGCUACACUGAUGCGUUCAACGAGUUUAUGACCUUGCCCGAUAGGGUUGGGUAAUCUUUUUAAAUCGCAUCGUGAUGGGGAUAGAUUAUUGCAAUUAUUAAUCUUCAACGAGGAAUUCCUAGUAAGCGCGAGUCAUCAGCUCGUGCUGAUUACGUCCCUGCCCUUUGUACACACCGCCCGUCGCACCUACCGAUUGAAUGGUCCGGUGAAUUCUUCGGACUGCGGCUUUGACUCGAUUUCGGUCGAGGCGUUGCUGCGGGAAGUUGAUUAAACCUUACCAUUUAGAGGAAGGUGAAGUCGUAACA
This 331-nucleotide ribosomal RNA is filed under the name uncultured eukaryote. RNAcentral's name for it is "partial 18S ribosomal RNA". It matches the Rfam family "Eukaryotic small subunit ribosomal RNA", at positions 1470 to 1796 of the family's 1831-position model. The record is from RNAcentral.